RNAcentral lists this transfer RNA (65 nucleotides) under Platygonus compressus. RNAcentral describes it as "partial tRNA-Ala". It matches the Rfam family "tRNA". Rfam says of the family: Transfer RNA (tRNA) molecules are approximately 80 nucleotides in length. Their secondary structure includes four short double-helical elements and three loops (D, anti-codon, and T loops). The record is from RNAcentral. Lineage: Eukaryota; Metazoa; Chordata; Mammalia; Artiodactyla; Tayassuidae.
GAGGAUUUAGCUUAAUUAAAGUGUUUGAUUUGCGUUCAAUUGAUGUAGGGGUGGUCCUGCAAUCC